RNAcentral lists this unclassified non-coding RNA (1751 nucleotides) under uncultured fungus. Its description in RNAcentral is "sequence contains 18S rRNA gene, ITS1, 5.8S rRNA gene, ITS2, 28S rRNA gene". The stretch from base 667 to 1751 matches the Rfam family "Eukaryotic large subunit ribosomal RNA", at positions 1 to 961 of the family's 3401-position model. The record is from RNAcentral. Lineage: Eukaryota; Fungi.
GGAAGGAUCAUCAUUCACCAAUAAGAGCAUGUAGGGGAGUUGAAAUACACUCUAUAUCAAACCUACAUACUCGUCAAUUGUAUUGAUCAUUUGUUGAUAUUGGCUAUGCAUGUAAGGUUGCAAUGUGUCUCACCGAGACCGCCACAAUGAGCCAUCAACUGGCGUAUUGCAAAUCCUGCUGCAUACUUACAGCUUCUGCGAAGCUAGUUGUAAGCAAAACUAUUUGAUGUUAACCAAAAUUUCAUGAAUUGAUUUCAUUGGUUGGCAAAUCUUUAUUUUCGCUGUAACACAGCGAUCAAACCGAGUAUAUCCCUUAACGAUGGAUGCCUCGGCUCGUGAAGCGAUGAAGGACGCAGCUAGGUGCGAUAAGCACUGUGAAUUGCUGAAUUCCGCGAACCAGUAGAUCUCUGAACGCAGUAUGCGCGAGAGGAUGUAUUUCUCUUGCAGAUGUGUGUCAGCGUUUUCUAUUAAAACAAUGCAGUCAAUGCUCAGUGAGACUUUAUGUUUCGAGUAUGUGAGGCACUUUCCUUACAAAUUACUUUCCAUAAAGGUUACCCUUUAUGAUAGAGGAUUCGGGUAUACCUUAUGAUUACCUGACGUAAUGGUCUAGUUGAAAAACAUUGGACCCAGAACUGAAAGGUAGGGUAAGGUACUAUGUCGACAAAUUGAACCUGACACACUUCAGGCAACCCGCUGAAUUUAAGCAUAUAAGUAAGCGGAGGAAAAGAUACUAACGAGGAUUCCCUCAGUAAUGGCGAAUGAACAGGGAAAAGCUCAAUGCCCAAUCAAUUACUUGUAAUUGACAUGUGGUAUGGUGGUUUACCAGUGAAGACUCUAACGUAAUUCCCUUGGAACAGGGAGCCUAAGAGGGUGAUAGCCCCGUUAAUCGUUAGAUGUUCAUCACGUACGGUUUCCAUUUAAUGAGUCGCGUUCCUUGGGAUUGGAGCGCAAAUAUGGGUGGUAAAUUCCAUCCAAGGCUAAAUAUGACCACGAGACCGAUAGAAAACAAGUACCAUGAGGGAAAGGUGAAAAGAGCUCUGAAAAGAGGGUUAAAAGUGCCUGAAAUCGUUAAGGGGGAAGCGAAUGUUUGCUGUUGCAGGUGUGACGAGGACUGCGCAAUUGCUGGAAGGGUUUGGUUGGUUACUUUGGGCAACUGAGUAGCUUAUCUCCUCUUUUCGCUUGAACGUGUUUCCUAGUCAUCUCCGUCAAUGCAACCUUUAGUUUAGGUAGUUAUUUUGGAACAGGGUAGUUAACUUCGGUUUUCAAUCCGUUUUGAAACAAUCCUAGAUUGGGGGUGAGGAUUCUCGUAUAAUUUACAAGUAGUUGUUGCCGUUUCUUUGGCUCGAUUCGUCGCUUGCGGUGAUUUGGGCUGCAGUCGUGGCAAUUAACCGUUUGCAAUUGUGCGAAAGGCAUUGAUCUCAACGGUGACAUUUGUCCCGUCUUGAAACACGGACCAAGGAGUCUAACCUGUUUGCGAGUCUAAGGGUGUCAAACCCACGGGCGAAAUGAAAGUGAUUGGAGUGAGUAUUGCCUUAGGGUGAUAUGAUACUCUGACCGACCUCGAUCUUCGGUGAGAGGUUUGAGUAUGAGCAUACCUGUUAGGACCCGAAAGAUGGUGAACUAUGCCUGAGUAGGGUGAAGCCAGGGGAAACUCUGGUGGAGGCUCGUAGCGAUACUGACGUGCAAAUCGUUCGUCAAACUUGGGUAUAGGGGCGAAAGACUAAUCGAACCAUCUAGUAGCUGGUUCCCUC